RNAcentral lists this ribosomal RNA (425 nucleotides) under uncultured bacterium. Its description in RNAcentral is "bacterial SSU rRNA". It matches the Rfam family "Bacterial small subunit ribosomal RNA", at positions 354 to 796 of the family's 1533-position model. The record is from RNAcentral.
GUGGGGAAUCUUAGACAAUGGGGGCAACCCUGAUCUAGCCAUGCCGCGUGAGUGAUGAAGGCCUUAGGGUUGUAAAGCUCUUUCAGUGGGGAAGAUAAUGACGGUACCCACAGAAGAAGCCCCGGCUAACUCCGUGCCAGCAGCCGCGGUAAUACGGAGGGGGCUAGCGUUGUUCGGAAUUACUGGGCGUAAAGCGCACGUAGGCGGAUCGGAAAGUUGGGGGUGAAAUCCCAGGGCUCAACCCUGGAACUGCCUUCAAAACUAUCGGUCUGGAGUCCGAGAGAGGUGAGUGGAAUUCCGAGUGUAGAGGUGAAAUUCGUAGAUAUUCGGAGGAACACCAGUGGCGAAGGCGGCUCACUGGCUCGGUACUGACGCUGAGGUGUGAAAGCGUGGGGAGCAAACAGGAUUAGAAACCCGUGUAGUCC